RNAcentral lists this ribosomal RNA (57 nucleotides) under Aspergillus flavus. RNAcentral's name for it is "partial 28S ribosomal RNA". The record is from RNAcentral. Lineage: Eukaryota; Fungi; Ascomycota; Eurotiomycetes; Eurotiales; Aspergillaceae.
AAUCUUUUUCCAGGUUGACCUCGGAUCAGGUAGGGAUACCCGCUGAACUUAAGCAUA